This is a long non-coding RNA of Felis catus (domestic cat), 841 nucleotides long. RefSeq lists it as uncharacterized. The transcript has 2 exons. The record is from RefSeq and is a predicted model, not a curated record. NCBI's taxonomy places the organism in Eukaryota, Metazoa, Chordata, Mammalia, Carnivora, Felidae.
AUAAAGAAAUAAAUAAAUAAAUAUUAAAAAAUACAUACUCAAGCUAAAAAUGAGAGAUGUUUCAUUACAUUACUUCUUUUCAAUAAAUGCACUGAAAUCCCUUUUGGAAGCAGACAGAGUAAAUUAAAAGUUUAAAACCUGUGUUAGUUCUAAUACUGAUGCCAUGUUUUUUCAUAGUAAUUACUACUGUGGAUAGCUUGUCUGAGGACAGUUAUUACAUUCCCACGUUUGUGAUGGAAUAACUGAAGCAUAAGUUUAAGCAAGGAUGAAAAAAAAUUCAAGAGGCUUUCAUAUCCAUCUAUAAAGCCUCCUAGAGCAGUAUCAAAAGUUUUAAAUUGAUCUGAACAGCCUUUAUGACUUCUUCAGCAUACUAAGGAAGAGAGCAAGGCAGCGGGGGGAAUGGCUCCCAGGGAACAGAGCAUGAUGUGAACUCCAAGACAUCAGCCAUUCCCUCAACUCCUAUACUGGACAGGAAAUGAACCCACAAUUCACCUGGCUCCAGAAUGCCUGGCCCUGGAAGUCUGGGUGUCCAUGGCAAUGGCAAACCAGACCUGGUGAAGCGUUAAUAGCAGAAAUAAGAGCAUGUAGUUCUCCAGAAUAAAGACUACGCUUUCCAAUCUUCCCUGCUGCUGGGUACAACCAUGUGAAUGAGUUUUGAUCAAUGGGAUAUGAGGAGAAGCAAUGAAUGGAACCUUCGGGUCACCACUAAAUGGGACGGGUUUGGAAUAUGGACAUCAUGGUGAACCCUCCUCUUCAAACCUACAGCAGAUGUCACCCUAGAAUUAUACGGCUCAUGUCUGGAAUGUUACACGAGAUGGAAAUAAACAUCUGUCGAGUUUAA